This 271-nucleotide ribosomal RNA is filed under the name unidentified marine bacterioplankton. RNAcentral describes it as "partial 16S ribosomal RNA". It matches the Rfam family "Bacterial small subunit ribosomal RNA", at positions 40 to 339 of the family's 1533-position model. The record is from RNAcentral.
CGGCAGGCUUAACACAUGCAAGUCGAACGGUCUCUUCGGAGGCAGUGGCAGACGGAUGAGUAACGCGUGGGAAUCUACCUAGUUCUACGGAACAACAGUUGGAAACGACUGCUAAUACCGUAUACGCCCUACGGGGGAAAGAUUUAUCGGAAUUAGAUGAGCCCGCGUAAGAUUAGCUAGUUGGUGGGGUAAUGGCCUACCAAGGCGACGAUCUUUAGCUGGUCUGAGAGGAUGAUCAGCCACACUGGGACUGAGACACGGCCCAGACUCC